GGAGAGGUGCCCGGAGCGGCUUAUCGGGGACCGGGGCAGCAGCCCGAGGUCGGACCCACACCAGGUCCACGCAGGUUCAAAUCCUGCCCUCUCCGCCA
Molecule: transfer RNA, 98 nt
Filed under: Streptomyces sp. tea 10
Lineage: Bacteria; Bacillati; Actinomycetota; Actinomycetes; Kitasatosporales; Streptomycetaceae
Also listed under: 5 other names
Description: tRNA-Cys
Source: RNAcentral